AAGUCAAAUUUGGAGAAAUAGUUAUAAUUUUUUGUGAGAGAAGGUCUCCACCAUCUCUCUACUUUCCUCCUUUGUGUAUGGAUAAUACUCUGCAAAAGAGAUCCACUCCACUGGAACCACCUGAUAAGGGAGAAUGCCAAAUGGCUAUCGACCAACGACCCACCCCAUCCUAUAGUGACAAAGUACGAGGCAACAUUAUUAGCCCCACACAAUCCCCCCCCUUUAUUCCCAACUGAAGUUUCAACAAGCAGAAGGGAAGAUCACAUUUCCCUCUCCGAAGAAGAUAAAUUACGCACCGUGGAGGUUCUCAGUUAUUAUAAAGGCAGUAGGGAAGAAAUUUAAUCACCACUACCUAAAGACUAAGCUCAUAGAGCUAUGGAAGAUCCAGGAGGCCUUUGCUCUCAUCUAUCUUGGCAUGGAGUUUUUCACAGUUAAACUUAACAACGAGGAAUGCCAGAGGAGAGCAUUGCAAUAGGGUCCAUGGUUCAUAGCAGAGGCAUACCUAUCAGUGCGAACCUGGGAACCAAAAUUCGUACCGACUGAAAAUCAGAUCCAAACUAUGGCGAUCUUGGUUCGUUUGCCACAACUGCCCACUGAAUUCUAUGAUGUGGGGAUCCUAGAACGAGUGGGGAACAAGCUGGGGAACCUUGUGAAGAUUGACGCAUGCACUUCCUCAACCUUGAGGGGUCGAUAUGCGCGUAUUUGCAUUCAAAUUCCAAUGGAAACAACGCUAAAGAAAGUGAUAACUAUUGAAGGGCACCGUCAAACUAUCCACUACGAAGGCGACGACUUCCUUUGCAAACUAUGCGGUCACCUAAGGCAUACAAAAUCUAGUUGCAAAAGAAAACCACCGUCACCAACAUCAACUCAGAUGGGGGCCAUAUCUUAGGACGCGUCACCAGCGAUAACAACGGAGCAAGAAUGCACACAGUUGUCUUCAAGAAAGGUAAAGGGAGGAAAAGGAACUCAACAGUCCCUAAUUAUGGCAAGAACGCUAUAGGUACAUGUUAAGGGGAUUAGGGAAUCCAGUUGUAUGACAUAGCUUUAGAGAACAAAACAUAGUGGCGGAUGCGGUGACUAAGAUGGGAUCCAACUCAGAUGUUUUUGGAAGUACUACAAUCUUGGAAGUUCCUCCAGUGUGUGCUCGCCAUGCUCUUUGGGCAGACGUGAUAGGAACUACUUUUGAAAGAAGCAUAAGAUGUAAUAGUGGAAGUCCAUCAAAACUCGUCUACCAGUUUUUUGAUAUCAACCCUGGUUGAUAUCCAGAGGUGUAUGUAAAUUAUAAGCAUCCACUGUUUCCUAGUUAAACCAAUCAUCUUCUUUAUCAAAAAGAAAAAAGAUAAUUACUUCAAUUUCAACAACCAGGAUAACAGUGUAGACACAUAAUUUUUUCUCUCCCCGAAAGAAGUUUUACCAUUUUACCACCACCUUACCAUGUAUCCUAUCCCUUGUGAUAAUCUCUUCACAAAAAUACGAAAAUAACAAUCCCUAACAAAAUCCCUAACAAAUCUUAUCUUGUUUUAACAUCCCAAAAACCUCUCUAAUUAAAAGAUGACACAUCACCACCCAAUACCCUCCUACUCUACCUACCCACGUGACCCACACCACCUCACCUAUUCUUUCUUUACACUUUUAUUCCUUUCUACAAAGAGAAGAGAAAGAGAUAAUUACAAAAAAGGAGGCCCCCACAAAUGACAUAUACAUACACACUUUCACAAUUCGUCAAAGGGGGGAAUUCAUCAUGUACACACUUACGGAUACAGUGAAAAGGGGGCAACAAAAACACACUAUUUUUUCUUUCUUCUCAAGCAGCACACACCACCGGCCUUCUUCGUAAUUUCACACACAGAGAGGACCCUCACGAAAUUCCAUAAACACGCACAUACAAAGCACACAGUGAAAACAACAAGAAAAAGGAGUAAAAUGGAGUGAGAAUCGAAGGAGAAAAUAGAAUCUGGGUUUGGAUUACUAUUCUGGCGUCAUAAUCGCCAAAUUUCGACUGGUUCCGCCAGUUUUUCCCUUUGUAGCUCAUCGGAGCUCAGUUUCGAUUGAUUUUCAGCUCAUUAUUUGAUCGAUUCCGUCUUAAAUCUCCAAGUAUCAUCGCCUCCUUUGAUUUCCAGGCAGGUUUGACCGGAAAACAUAAAUUGUUGACAGAUUUUUUUUGUUGAAAUCGCCCUUAUUUCAAAUCAAUCUUAAGAUUAGUUCGCGUAUGGGAAUGGUUUGUAUUGUUGCGAUUUUUCAUCUUGGGUUCUUCGAUAUUCAUUACUGGUUUGGGGCUUUAGGUUUCGGGUCGUCUUGACCCGUUCGUUUAGUUCAGUUUUGGGUUUCAAUUUCUCAAUACCGAGAUGGAUAAAUUCAUCUUUGAGUCUUAAGUCAAAGUUAUCGGAGGCGAGUUUCCUUUAUUUUGUCAAAUAACAUUCAUCAAAAUCGGUAUUAAGGUCCAUCCCUCAACUCUACUAUUCUUAUUAUUAUCUCAAAUGUGUUUAAAUAUUGUGAUUGUGUAGUGUGUUUGUGAGCUUGUUUGAGCCAUGUUGAUUAUCAUUGUCUUGAUUUUUAUCUCGAAAUUGAAUACUUGAGAAUUGGGUUAGUUGUGAGAUUGAUAUUAAAUAAGGGCAGAAUUAAGAAAUUGAUAAAAGUGGAAUGUAGACUAAUUUUGGUUCGUUGUCGAUUCGCUUUAUUUGGAAUAAGCAUGAAUAUUAUUGGAACAUGAUAGAGUGGUGAUGUGUUGAAAUGGAUACACAAUAUAGGUUCGGGUAGGCAAAUUUAGAACUUGUGUUUUGAUUGAAUGUUUAAAUGUGUGUUUUGAACGUUCUUCUAGUUAGCUUAUUUAAUUCAGAUGUAUUUGGCCGGGGAAUGCCCCGAGGUAUUUGUGUUCAUUUAUCGAGAAUGCUCCAAAGUAUUUUGUACCCGGAGGACAUUCGAGAUGAAUAUCCGAGGCGUCGGGUUUGAGCUUAGUCUAGCACUAGUAUAGAAUAGGAUUUAUAUUUUUGCAAUUUUUCUGUUUUGAACUGUAUAAGUGGACUGGACACUAUAUUUUGGAUUUGUUUUGCUUUGUU
This is a long non-coding RNA of Capsicum annuum, 3056 nucleotides long. RefSeq lists it as uncharacterized. The record is from RefSeq and is a predicted model, not a curated record. NCBI's taxonomy places the organism in Eukaryota, Viridiplantae, Streptophyta, Magnoliopsida, Solanales, Solanaceae. The transcript has 2 exons.